Molecule: long non-coding RNA, 364 nt
Organism: Sceloporus undulatus (fence lizard)
Lineage: Eukaryota; Metazoa; Chordata; Lepidosauria; Squamata; Phrynosomatidae
Exons: 3
Source: RefSeq, a predicted model, not a curated record
UCCAUCUCGCAGUGUUGGAAAGCAAGUCUAAAUGGUUUGCAAAGAGGCUAUAAAGUGCAGCUUAACACCACUGAGUGUGUGAAAGAAGGAGAAUUUAAGGUGGUCAUUGAAAGAUACAGGAAGCUGAAGAGCAUGGAACAGAUUUGAAAGCAGAACAUGGCACAGGAACAGCAAGGCUCACUUGUGGUGUAGAAGAAUAAGAAUGUGUCUUCAAAUGCAUUUUGAAAGCACAAGAGGGGACCAGGAGAUGGAACGAAGCAGGGAAGGAAAUGCAAGACGGGUGAGAGGAGAGAAAAAUCAAAGGACUGCAAAUGUGAAGAGCUGGACCACAAACAUGAUCAGAGAAACAAAGGAGAAGAUAAUG